This 532-nucleotide unclassified non-coding RNA is filed under the name Hevea brasiliensis (rubber tree). The record is from RNAcentral. Lineage: Eukaryota; Viridiplantae; Streptophyta; Magnoliopsida; Malpighiales; Euphorbiaceae.
GGAUCCCCACCUACGAUUCCAGGUAAUACAUUUUAUCAUAAUAUUGUCUAGAUUUCUUAGGCAAUCUAGUCAGUUUUACAGAGGUAUCUUUAUUAAAUUUGAUUAUUAGUUAAGUCUCCAUGAUAAAUAUAACAAUGUAGUCUUCAUGUAUGAAGAUUAGAUGUAUUUGGUUCUACUUAUAGUAAGCAUCAUGUCAGAUAAGGCAAACAUUGAACUUGCUGCUCUCUUAAAUUACUUAAUUUUAGAUAUUGCGUAGGGUACUCAUUAAAUCAUUGAUUUUUGACAUUUUCAUUUCUAUUAGUAGUUGGAUGAAACUUGCCUGGUUCUAAAAUUUAUUGCUUCUAUAUGGUAAAUUAUCUUAUAUGUUAUUUCAGUAUCAUAAAUCUCACACAAGCUGCAUUGGAAAUAUAUUUGUUUGCUGACAUUGCUUGUCUUUUAAAAUGCAAUCAUGUCUGCUACAUCAAAAACACGUUCACAAUGAAAGUAAUACACGGUUCAUUGAAAAUUUCAGGCGGAGCAACACUAAUAUUUG